AAGCGGAUUUGAUCUAUGCUCAGAUACGCUGGCGGCAUGCCGCACACAUGCAAGUCGAACGAACGCUUCGGCGUUAGUGGCGCUCAGGUGCGUAACGCGUGGGAAUCUGCCACGUGCUUCGGAAUAACAGUUAGAAAUGACUGCUAAUACCGGAUGAUGUCUUCGGACCAAAGAUUUAUCGGCAAGGGAUGAGCCCGCGUAGGAUUAGCCAGUUGGUGGGGUAAAGGCCUACCAAGCCGACGAUCCUUAGCUGGUCUGAGAGGAUGAUCAGCCACACUGGGACUGAGACUAUGCCAGUAUCCUACGGGAGGCAGCAGUGGGGAAUAUUGGACAAUGGGCGCAAGCCUGAUCCAGACGACACGCGUGAGUGAUGAAGGCCUAUCGGUCGUAAAGCUCUAGUACCAGGGAUGAUAAUGACAGUACCUGGAGAAUAAGCUCCGGCUAACUCCGUGCCGUUGCCGCGGUAAUACGGAGGCUCCUAGCGCACGGCGGAAUGGCAGGGACGUAAAGCGCACGUAGGCGGAGUCUCAAGUCAGAGGUGAAAGCCCGGUCAGCAACCCAUGAACUGCCUUUGAAACUAGGUAGCUGGAAUCUUGGAGCUACACAGUGGAAUUCCGAGUGUACUCGUGAAAUUCGUAGAUAUUCGGAUAGAACACCAGUGGCGAAGAUGACUGACUGGGAGGUAUUGACGCUGAGGUGCGAAAGCGUGGGGAGCAAACAGGAUUAGAUACCCUGGUAGUCCACGCCGUAAACGAUGGCUUCUAGCUGUCCGGUCACUGCGUGAUUGGGUGGCGCAGCUAACGCAUUAAGUUAUCCGCCUGGGGAGUACGGUCGCAAGAUUAAAACUCAAAGGAAUUGACUGAUACUGCAGUCGCGGUGGAGCAUGUGGUUUAAUUCGAAGCAACGCGCAGAACCUUACCAGCGUGUCAUCAUCCCGCGCUACUUCCAGAGAUGGAAGGUUCCCUAGCAUGGACGCGGUGACAGGUGCUGCAUGGCUGUCGUCAGCUCGUGUCGCACGAUGUACUAGUCUACAGUUAGAACGAGCGCAACCUACGUCCUUAGUUGCCAUCAUUUAGUUGGGCACUCUAAGGAGUGCGCCGGUGAUAAGCCGGAGGAAGGUGGGGAUGACGUCAAGUCCUCAUGGCCCUUACACGCUGAGGUCCACACGUGCUACAAUGUCAGUGACAGUGGGCAGCAAGCACGCGAGUGUGAGCUAAUCUCCAAAAGCCGUCAGCAUUCGGAUUGUUCUCUGAGACUCGAGAGCAUGAAGGCGGAAUCGCUAGUAAUCGCGGAUCAGCGACUCGCGGUGAAUACGUUCCCAGGCCUUGUACACACCGCCCGUCACACCAUGAAAGUUGGGUUCACCCGAACUAUUCUAGCUAACUCGCCUCAGAGGCAGGCGACCACGGUGGUUAGCGACUGGGGUGAUCCAGUGUAACAAGGCUAGUUGACU
RNAcentral lists this ribosomal RNA (1453 nucleotides) under uncultured Novosphingobium sp. Its description in RNAcentral is "bacterial SSU rRNA". It matches the Rfam family "Bacterial small subunit ribosomal RNA". The record is from RNAcentral. Lineage: Bacteria; Pseudomonadati; Pseudomonadota; Alphaproteobacteria; Sphingomonadales; Sphingomonadaceae.